CAGGUAAUUCAAAUUCUUUGUCUGACCAUGUUGAUUUAUGAAUGAUUUGUAUGUGAUGGCUAUAAAAGCAACUCCCCCGAAUUUGAGUAAGAUCCGUAGAACUAAUCCAACAUUCGAGGACGAAUGUUCUUAAGGGGGGGAGGAUGUUACGUCCCGUAUUUUUAUACAUUGGGACAACCCGGAUUAAUUAUGAUAAUUUAAGGCCAAGAUUUUUCCGGGAUUUGAAGUCGGGACUUUUGACCAUUUGAUUUUAAUUUGAGAUAUAAGUCAUGUAUGAAAUUGAUGGCAUUGAACACUUAGGGAAAAUUGGGACUACAAUUCAUAAAAUUGGAAUUAAAAUGUUGUGCAAAAAAAAAAAAAAAAAAAAAAAAAUUCCUUGGUGGCCAUGUAAAUGGGAAUUGGUCCCACACAUUGUGUGGCCAAUUUUAAUUGGUCCACUCCAUGUGUGGGCCAAGGACACUUGGACAACAACUAUAUGAGCCUAAAGUAUGACCAAGUAGUCAUCUUUUCCCCAUUGCAAGACUUAGAAAAAAAAAAAUCAAGGAGUUGAAGACCACCUUCAACACCCCUCUCGGCUACAAACCAAGAAAAACCAAAUCCAAAUCAAGCCACCCCAAAAUUAUUUCCUUGGUAUAAAUCAACUAUUUAGAAGUCCCUAAGUAACGUGGAAGAGUUGUUUGGGUCAUCCAACCACUAGUUGUGCCCAAUUGCAAACCCUAACUAUUGAAGGAAGUGAAGAAGGAAGACCUUGGGCAGCCCGAAUCAUAGUUUGGACUUAGCUUGAGUUGGAUCAUAUUGGAGAGCGUUUGAGGUACAGACGCACAGCCUGGUGAUCCACCUGUUUAGGACACCCUUUCUGCUAUUCGGAGUGCUUCUCUCUUUCCGGAGCUUAUACUUUUGGUAUAUAUAUAUAUUUAUUAGUGCAUUUGUAUAUAUUCGUUCAUGGGUACGGCGGGGCCUUGUCCCGUCAUAUGAUUCUGUCGGUCUGUUUAGAGGUCUGUGGACAUGUUUGUGGGUUAGGGUC
Molecule: long non-coding RNA, 1024 nt
Organism: Lycium barbarum (goji berry)
Lineage: Eukaryota; Viridiplantae; Streptophyta; Magnoliopsida; Solanales; Solanaceae
Exons: 3
Source: RefSeq, a predicted model, not a curated record